This 393-nucleotide ribosomal RNA is filed under the name uncultured bacterium. RNAcentral's name for it is "partial 16S ribosomal RNA". It matches the Rfam family "Bacterial small subunit ribosomal RNA", at positions 523 to 918 of the family's 1533-position model. The record is from RNAcentral.
CUACGGAAGGUCCGGGCGUUAUCCGGAUUUAUUGGGUUUAAAGGGAGCGCAGGCGGAGAUGCAAGCGUGACGUCAAAUUUCGGGGCUCAACCCCGUCUCGCGUCGCGAACUGCGUCCCUUGGUUGCGGGAAGGGGAGGCGGAACUCGUGGUGUAGCGGUGAAAUGCAUAGAUAUCACGAAGAACUCCGAUCGCGAAGGCCGCCUUCCGGCCCGUCAACGACGCUCAUGCUCGAAGGUGCGGGUAUCAAACAGGAUGAGAUACCCUGGUAGUCCGCACAGUAAACGAUGGACACCCGCGGUUUGGCCUGUAUGGCUGAGCCGCCAAGCGAAAGCGUUAAGUGUCCCACCUGGGGAGUACGCCGGCAACGGUGAAACUCAAAUGAAUUGGCGGGG